AUUGAACGCUGGCGGCAGGCCUAACACAUGCAAGUCGAGCGGAUGAAGGGAGCUUGCUCCUGGAUUCAGCGGCGGACGGGUGAGUAAUGCCUAGGAAUCUGCCUGGUAGUGGGGGAUAACGUCCGGAAACGGGCGCUAAUACCGCAUACGUCCUGAGGGAGAAAGUGGGGGAUCUUCGGACCUCACGCUAUCAGAUGAGCCUAGGUCGGAUUAGCUAGUUGGUGGGGUAAAGGCCUACCAAGGCGACGAUCCGUAGCUGGUCUGGGAGGAUGAUCAGUCACACUGGAACUGAGACACGGUCCAGACUCCUACGGGAGGCAGCAGUGGGGAAUAUUGGACAAUGGGCGAAAGCCUGAUCCAGCCAUGCCGCGUGUGUGAAGAAGGUCUUCGGAUUGUAAAGCACUUUAAGUUGGGAGGAAGGGCAGUAAGUUAAUACCUUGCUGUUUUGACGUUACCAACAGAAUAAGCACCGGCUAACUUCGUG
This 484-nucleotide ribosomal RNA is filed under the name uncultured bacterium. Its description in RNAcentral is "partial 16S ribosomal RNA". It matches the Rfam family "Bacterial small subunit ribosomal RNA", at positions 30 to 507 of the family's 1533-position model. The record is from RNAcentral.